Long non-coding RNA from Poecile atricapillus (Black-capped chickadee), 2643 nucleotides. RefSeq lists it as uncharacterized. NCBI's taxonomy places the organism in Eukaryota, Metazoa, Chordata, Aves, Passeriformes, Paridae. The transcript is spliced from 3 exons. The record is from RefSeq and is a predicted model, not a curated record.
GACUACCUAAAGGUGAAGCAUGAGACAAAGGACUAGUGUUUUAUUUCUGGAACAGGAGGUGGGUAAAGAAAAAUCUUAGGUAUGACAUUAUUGGUGUUAAUUUUCUUUUGACAAUAUGCUUUUCCAAAAUGAAAGGAAAGGCUCUGUUGCAUGCCUCAAUUUUGGAAAAAAAGUAUAUACAUUUUGACUGGUUUCUGUAGAUCAUUUAUUAUUAUGGUGGACCUAAGAUAUUGGCUAAGAAGAAAAUUAUUUGUUAUGAGCAAGUGGCUUCUGUGGACAGUCUUCAGUUUGAUAAAACAGAGCUUAGUAUUGGGUUGAAAGGGUAAUUGAGACAGAGUUGCUUUGAAUCCCUUCUUUCACUUCUCUAAUUCUCAUGUACAUUAGAGUUCAUGAAAUGUAUGCCUCGGCUGGGGUAAGUAAUACUGUGAAAAAAACUGUUAUGAUUAAGGUAUUUUCAUGCUAAUUAAGUUUGUUUCAGGUUGAUAACUGUUGUUGCAUUUUUCUUCAUGUGACCAAUAGGGCCGAGUUUAAAUUUGACUUGUUUUGUUUUAGUUAACCUUGUUAGCUAAUUUGUAUACAGUGUAGCUAUAGAUUGCAUGUACAUGUUUUGCAAAUUUUGAGGGUUUCUUGAAUAUUUUCAAAAUGUAACUUAUGUGACAAGUAGUUUGUUUGAAGGUGUUCCUCUAUUUUUAUAUUUUAUUUUCUUUAAUAAGCUAUGACCCUUGUUUUGAGAACAUAUGCUCUCAGUAUGUAUUGUUGCUGUACAAGCAGAUAAAUGAGCACUUUUGGGGUGUGCAUACUUUCUUUGUAUCUUCAGUCCUUAUCCAGCUAAUUUUUUUGGACCAGAGAACCAAGUGCUGUCAAUUGUACAAGUUAUGCAAAAAAGUAACUGUCACUGGAGCAUAAAAAAGAUCUUGGCCACACUUGUUUCCUUUCUGGACUCUAGUACAGACAUAUGCUGGGUGGAGACAGAAUGGAAACAUGCCCUGGAGUAAAGAGGUAUUAACACUACAGUUGUGUAACCCUGGUGAAUCCUAUUGUAGUCUUUGGGGUGCCAAUUUCACCACUUCAUUACUAUUUUUAUGUUUUUAUUUCUGUUGAUCCAAAAAAAGAAAAACACAGAGAUCAAAAUUAUUGACAUUGGAUUUUGUUUGAUGAUAUUUUUCUUAUCUGGUCUAUAUCUAUUUUUAAUCUACAGAGGGUUUGCUGUGUAUGUUGUAGAAAAGAAGCACCUUUUUGAUUUUGGAAAGUCUGACAGCAAAUGUUUUUUUCUAAUUGUACCAUUUAUAGGGCUACACUAUGUCAUUUUACAUUUGUUAAGAAGUUUAGAACAAAAUGGAAAUCAAAUUUUUGUGUGCUCGUUUCUAUUAAUGUUUGUUGAAUUAUUUUUGCAGUAGUCCAGUAGUUUAUUCUUGUACUGGGUUUGCAUGGCAAGGUUUUGGUAGGGGGGAGGUACAGGUGUGGCUUUUGUGAGAAGCUGACAGAAGCUUCUUCUAUGUUUGAUAGAGCCAAUGUCAGCUAGCUUCAGGAGAGACCCAUUGAUGGCCAAGGCCGAGCCCCUCAGUGAUGAUGGUACCACCUCUGGGAUAACAUAUUUAAGCAGGGAAAAAAACCUGUGCAACAGCAACUGCAGACAGAAGAGAGGAGUGAGAAUAUGUGAGAGAAAUAACUCUGCAGAUCCCAGGGUCAGUGGAGAAGGAGGGGCAGGAGGUGUGUCAGGCGCCAGAGCUGAGAUUCCCCUGCAGCCCAUGGUGCAAGACCAUGGUGAGGCAGCUGUGCUCCUGAAGCCCAGGGAGGUCAAUGGAGGAGCAGAGAUCCACCUGCAGCCUGUGGAGGAGACCCACACUGGAGCAGGUGGAUGCUUGGAGUUUGUAAGCCUGUGGGAAGCCUGCACUGGAGCAGGGUCCUUGCAGGACCUGUGGAGAGAGGAGCCCACACUGGAACAUAUUUGCUGGCAGGACUUGUGACCCUUGUGGAGGACUCAUGCUGGAGCAGUCUGUUUCUGAAGGACUGCACUCUGUGGAAGGGACCCACACUGAAGCAGGUGGAUGCCUGAAGGAGGCUGUGACCCUGUGGGAAGCCUGUGUUGGAGCAGGGUCCUGGCAGCACCUGUGGACCUGUGGAGAGGAGCCCAUGCUGGAGCAGCUGGCUUCAUUCAAACUCUGGAUUGAAAAGGGACUUUUGAAAGCUGAAAUCUUUUGCGGUGCCCAACUGUUGCCACAGUGCUGAGCAGGGUGGCCCUUGCUCCAGCAAGCCAGUCUAGCUCACCAUUGGUGCUCAAACAAGGGGAGAAGACCAUGAUCUGCCUCAGCCCAGCCACCUUGCUUUGCCUGCUCCUGUCAUCUCCUGCUGCGAGGAAGGUGAAGUCCCUCUGUGAUUUUCUAGCCCUUGAUCCAGAGAAUACCAGUUGGAACUCCAGAUGUCAGGGAGAUAAGCAGAGCGGAGGGGGACAUGGAGGGAAGACUGACACCAUCUUUAUCUUUGUCCUUCAAACCACAUGCUCAGCUACAGAGCACCAUCUUGGGGGGAUGUGCCCGGCAUUUUGGGUCUCUUUGUUCUUGGGGGGAAUCCAUGAGAUUUAGCAAUGUUUUAUCUAGCAGUUAUUUACUGGUUUGGUUGUUUUGGGGGUUUGUGCCUGUUGCU